UAUAAUAUAAGAGAGAAUGAGGGGCAUUUGGGAGACGUUAGUUAAGUAGCUUGGUUGGCAGUUUGAGGGUAGGGCCACAUACUCAGGAAAGGACCAAAAUGUAUCGACAAGCUCGUGGUGGGGGCCCAUAACACCGCCAGCUUCCAUUUUAAGGGUCCCAUUCUCAACGUGUUCAUCUUACUCUCCUCCUCUCGUUAACCCACUAAUACUAUAACUUGUGUAUAACGAAAAAUAUUAGUAGUAAUGAAUAUUCUUAUGAUGUUGAUGUUGAUUAAGAAUAAAAGUAUAUUUGAAACCGUUGUGCCAGUAUUGGGUUGGACUGUUCCAGUGCAUACAGAUAAUAAGUCGACCUUCAUGAAACGACGACGUCAACUACUACGUUUAAGGUACUACCUUAUCUUAAUUCACCUUCCUUCUCUUCUCCUCUACUGGACCCAGUCACAAUAAUCUUAAAAUCUCCAUUAAUAAGAAUGUGAAUAUUAUAAAGCAAAAU
RNAcentral lists this long non-coding RNA (493 nucleotides) under Cicer arietinum (chickpea). Its description in RNAcentral is "long non-coding RNA (CARI_LNC001765)". Lineage: Eukaryota; Viridiplantae; Streptophyta; Magnoliopsida; Fabales; Fabaceae. The record is from RNAcentral.